AUGAACUCUCAAAAGCCCGAAGCAGCAUUUUAGCCAGAUUAGCAUGCUACGCUAAAAAAUGCUAACGUUGCUCAAAGUUAACCAGAUACCUCAGGAGACCCAUUAGAGUCAAUAGAAACGUGUUAGCAUUUUAGCUAAUUAGCAUGCUAAGCUAAUUAGCAUAAAUCAACAAGCACAGGCACGGUCAACUUCAGAGCUGUACAUGUCAGGAACGGGAGCGAAUAUCAAAAAUCUGUUCAGUCAUUUCUGUCAGGCCCGGUCUGAAGUUCAUCUGAUAAAAUUAUGGACAAAAUUGAACAAGAUUUCAGGGAGGAGUAGCGAAAAAACUGUAUUUCAUUCCAUUCAAUAUGGCGGACAGACGCCAUGUUGGAAAAUGACAAUUGAGACAUCAUCAGAUUCAGCAUAACCAAAGGAAUAAAAUGACAUAAAAAUAACAAAAAUCGAUCAACAUUUACAGUAGUUAUAAGGGGUUUUGCAAUAAUCGUUAUAUCUCUUGAACACUAGGUGGCACUGUCUUCUAACUUCCGGGGUACCUCUUGGAUAUGGUGUUGAUGAUGCCUAUCGAUUUUUGUGAAGAUAUGUACAGUAGAUCAAAAGAUAUAGCAAUUUAUGACAAAAUUUAAAAUGGCGGACGGGUGGUCCUAGUGGUCUUGACAAAAUUGACAUCCACAGAUUCGGAAUGACCUAAAGAAUCCAUAGACAUCAAGAAAAUAAUUUUCUGAUGAAUUGUUCAGAAGUUAUAAGCAAAAAAGUGCAUUUUUGGUAUCUCAUCACCCAUAGGUGGCGCUAUUGCCAAAUUUGGCAUGGACCCCCAGAUCAUGGUGUAGAUGAAGUGUAUCAAGUUUGGUUUCGAUUGAUCAAAGUUUGGCCGAGAUACAGCAUCUCAACCGAUUUUAGGUCAACCUCAUUAAGUUUACAAUGGAAUAACUUUUGAACAAAGACGAAAAUCAAAAAUCUGUUCAGUCAUUUCUGUGCGGCUCAGUCCAAAGAACAUCUGAGACAAAUUUCAGAAGAAUUGGACCAAUUUUGAAGGAGGAGUAGUGUUUAGACUGAAUACUGUACUUUUCAAAAUGGCCGCUACUGUAAUGGGCGGAGUCUUAAUGUAAGAUAUGGAAUGGAAUCUCCAUGAAGAGACAAAACAGAUGUAGUAAGUUUUAUUUUCAUAGAAUAAGUGGUUCAAGAGUUAUUAACGUUUGAAUGUUGAAUUUUUGAACUGGUGGUGGCGCUGUAGAGUUGGUCCUAGAGACCCCAAAGUUGGUCAGAUCACUAAUAAUGGUCAUCUCUACAAGUGUGCCAAAUUUCAUCAUUUUCCCAUGUUCCCUUCAUAGGGCUGCCAUAGACUCCCAUUGGAGAAGAAGAAGAAUAAUAAUAAUAAUAAUAAUAAUAAUAAAGAAAACGUACAGAUACAAUAGGGGCUACAGCCCUCUGGGCUUGGCCCCUAAAUAUAGCUGCAAGCAGCGAUACCGGGGCCAAGCCCUGAAGGGCUGUAGCCAGAGCAACGAGCGGGACGAAGCAAAACGGCCAAAACGGAACUUACAUCGGAUCGACGUUACCCACCCCGGAUUCGAUCCCACGCCCUCUCGGGUUCGGGACGAGUGCCUUAGCUAAGUGUGCCACAUUAGUUGACACACUGUUUGCAUGGCACAGAAGAGAGCUUAAGGUGUGAGAAUGAACUCUCAAAAGCCCGAAGCAGCAUUUUAGCCAGAUUAGCAUGCUACGCUAAAAAAUGCUAACGUUGCUCAAAGUUAACCAGAUACCUCAGGAGACCCAUUAGAGUCAAUAGAAACGUGUUAGCAUUUUAGCUAAUUAGCAUGCUAAGCUAAUUAGCAUAAAUCAACAAGCACAGGCACGGUCAACUUCAGAGCUGUACAUGUCAGGAACGGGAGCGAAUAUCAAAAAUCUGUUCAGUCAUUUCUGUCAGGCCCGGUCUGAAGUUCAUCUGAUAAAAUUAUGGACAAAAUUGAACAAGAUUUCAGGGAGGAGUAGCGAAAAAACUGUAUUUCAUUCCAUUCAAUAUGGCGGACAGACGCCAUGUUGGAAAAUGACAAUUGAGACAUCAUCAGAUUCAGCAUAACCAAAGGAAUAAAAUGACAUAAAAAUAACAAAAAUCGAUCAACAUUUACAGUAGUUAUAAGGGGUUUUGCAAUAAUCGUUAUAUCUCUUGAACACUAGGUGGCACUGUCUUCUAACUUCCGGGGUACCUCUUGGAUAUGGUGUUGAUGAUGCCUAUCGAUUUUUGUGAAGAUAUGUACAGUAGAUCAAAAGAUAUAGCAAUUUAUGACAAAAUUUAAAAUGGCGGACGGGUGGUCCUAGUGGUCUUGACAAAAUUGACAUCCACAGAUUCGGAAUGACCUAAAGAAUCCAUAGACAUCAAGAAAAUAAUUUUCUGAUGAAUUGUUCAGAAGUUAUAAGCAAAAAAGUGCAUUUUUGGUAUCUCAUCACCCAUAGGUGGCGCUAUUGCCAAAUUUGGCAUGGACCCCCAGAUCAUGGUGUAGAUGAAGUGUAUCAAGUUUGGUUUCGAUUGAUCAAAGUUUGGCCGAGAUACAGCAUCUCAACCGAUUUUAGGUCAGCCUCAUUAAGUUCACAAUUGAAUAACUUUUGAACAAAGACGAAAAUCAAAAAUCUGUUCAGUCAUUUCUGUGCGGCUCAGUCCAAAGAACAUCUGAGCCAAAUUUCAGAAGAAUUGGACCAAUUUUGAAGGAGGAGUAGUGUUUAGACUGAAUACUGUACUUUUCAAAAUGGCCGCUACUGUAAUGGGCGGAGUCUUAAUGUAAGGUGUGGAAUGGAAUCUCCAUGAAGAGACAAAAUAGAUGUACUAAGUUUGAUUUUCAUAGAAUAAGUGGUUCAAGAGUUAUUAACGUUUGAAUGUUGAAUUUUUGAACUGGUGGUGGCGCUGUAGAGUUGGUCCUAGAGACCCCAAAGUUGGUCAGAUCACUAUUAAUGACCAGUUCUACAAGUGUGCCAAAUUUCAUCAUUUUCCCAUGUUCCCUUCAUAGGGCUGCCAUAGACCCCCAUUGGACGAGAAGAAGAAGAAGAAGAAUAAUAAUAAUAAUAAUAAUAAUAAUAAUAAAACAUACAGAUACAAUAGGGGCUACAGCCCUCUGGGCUUGGCCCC
Molecule: long non-coding RNA, 3115 nt
Organism: Carassius gibelio (silver crucian carp)
Lineage: Eukaryota; Metazoa; Chordata; Actinopteri; Cypriniformes; Cyprinidae
Exons: 3
Source: RefSeq, a predicted model, not a curated record